UAUUGCACAAUGGGCGAAAGCCUGAUGCAGCAACGCCGCGUGAGGGAUGACGGCCUUCGGGUUGUAAACCUCUUUUAGCAGGGAAGAAGCGAAAGUGACGGUACCUGCAGAAAAAGCGCCGGCUAACUACGUGCCAGCAGCCGCGGUAAUACGUAGGGCGCAAGCGUUAUCCGGAAUUAUUGGGCGUAAAGAGCUCGUAGGCGGUUUGUCGCGUCUGCUGUGAAAUCCCGAGGCUCAACCUCGGGCCUGCAGUGGGUACGGGCAGACUAGAGUGCGGUAGGGGAGAUUGGAAUUCCUGGUGUAGCGGUGGAAUGCGCAGAUAUCAGGAGGAACACCGAUGGCGAAGGCAGAUCUCUGGGCCGUAACUGACGCUGAGGAGCGAAAGGGUGGGGAGCAAACAGGCUUAGAUACCCUGGUAGUCCACCCCGUAAACGUUGGGAACUAGUUGUGGGGUCCAUUCCACGGAUUCCGUGACGCAGCUAACGCAUUAAGUUCCCCGCCUGGGGAGUACGGCCGCAAGGCUAAAACUCAAAGGAAUUGACGGGGACCCGCACAAGCGGCGGAGCAUGCGGAUUAAUUCGAUGCAACGCGAAGAACCUUACCAAGGCUUGACAUAUACGAGAACGGGCCAGAAAUGGUCAACUCUUUGGACACUCGUAAACAGGUGGUGCAUGGUUGUCGUCAGCUCGUGUCGUGAGAUGUUGGGUUAAGUCCCGCAACGAGCGCAACCCUCGUUCUAUGUUGCCAGCACGUAAUGGUGGGAACUCAUGGGAUACUGCCGGGGUCAACUCGGAGGAAGGUGGGGAUGACGUCAAAUCAUCAUGCCCCUUAUGUCUUGGGCUUCACGCAUGCUACAAUGGCCGGUACAAAGGGCUGCAAUACCGUGAGGUGGAGCGAAUCCCAAAAAGCCGGUCCCAGUUCGGAUUGAGGUCUGCAACUCGACCUCAUGAAGUCGGAGUCGCUAGUAAUCGCAGAUCAGCAACGCUGCGGUGAAUACGUUCCCGGGUCUUGUACACACCGCCCGUCAAGUCAUGAAAGUCGGUAACACCUGAAGCCGGUGGCCUAACCCUUGUGGAGGGAGCUGUCGAAGGUG
Molecule: ribosomal RNA, 1093 nt
Filed under: Microbacterium paraoxydans
Lineage: Bacteria; Bacillati; Actinomycetota; Actinomycetes; Micrococcales; Microbacteriaceae
Description: bacterial SSU rRNA
Rfam family: Bacterial small subunit ribosomal RNA
Source: RNAcentral